UAGCAACAUAGCAUGCUACAGAUGAAG
RNAcentral lists this non-coding RNA (27 nucleotides) under Rattus norvegicus (Norway rat). Lineage: Eukaryota; Metazoa; Chordata; Mammalia; Rodentia; Muridae. The record is from RNAcentral.